CCUUCGGGUGUGAAUUAGCGGCGAACGGGUGAGGAACACGUGAGAAAUCUGCCUUCAACACUGGGAUAACUCCGGGAAACCGGGGCUAAUACCGGAUAUGAAAUCUGCGGGCAUCCGCGGAUUUGGAAAGUUUUUCGGUUGAAGAUGAUCUCGCGGCCUAUCAGCUUGUUGGUGAGGUAAUGGCUCACCAAGGCGACGACGGGUAGCCGGCCUGAGAGGGCGACCGGCCACACUGGGACUGAGACACGGCCCAGACUCCUACGGGAGGCAGCAGUGGGGAAUAUUGGGCAAUGGAGGAAACUCUGACCCAGCGACGCCGCGUGCGGGAUGAAGGCCUUCGGGUUGUAAACCGCUUUCAGCAGGGAAGAAGCGAAAGUGACGGUACCUGCAGAAGAAGCACCGGCUAACUAUGUGCCAGCAGCCGCGGUAAUACAUAGGGUGCAAGCGUUGUCCGGAAUUAUAGGGCGUAAAGAGCUCGUAGGUGGUUCGUCACGUCGGAUGUGAAACUCUGGGGCUUAACCCCAGACCUGCAUUCGAUACGGGCGAGCUUGAGUAUGGUAGAGGAGUCUGGAAUUCCUGGUGUAGCGGUGGAAUGCGCAGAUAUCAGGAGGAACACCAAUGGCGAAGGCAGGACUCUGGGCCAUUACUGACACUGAGGAGCGAAAGCGUGGGGAGCGAACAGGAUUAGAUACCCUGGUAGUCCACGCCGUAAACGGUGGGCACUAGUUGUGGGGACCUUCCACGGUCUCUGCGACGCAGCU
This 761-nucleotide ribosomal RNA is filed under the name uncultured Actinomycetes bacterium. RNAcentral describes it as "bacterial SSU rRNA". It matches the Rfam family "Bacterial small subunit ribosomal RNA", at positions 77 to 853 of the family's 1533-position model. Lineage: Bacteria; Bacillati; Actinomycetota; Actinomycetes. The record is from RNAcentral.